RNAcentral lists this long non-coding RNA (3059 nucleotides) under Homo sapiens (human). RNAcentral describes it as "HSALNT0007823". Lineage: Eukaryota; Metazoa; Chordata; Mammalia; Primates; Hominidae. The record is from RNAcentral.
CCGGCUGCUUUGUUUACCCAAGCAAGCCUGGGCAAUGGCGGGCGCCCCUCCCCCAGCCUUGCUGCGGCCUUGCAGUUUGAUCUCAGACUGCUGUGCUAGCAAUCAGCGAGACUCCGUGGGCGUAGGACCCUCCUAGCCAGGUGCAAGAUAUAAUCUCGCGGUGCGCCGUUUUUUAAGCCGGUCCGAAAGCGCAAUAUUCGGGUGGGAGAGACCCGAUUUUCCAGUGAGAUGAACCCAGUACCUCAGAUGGAAAUGCAGAAAUCACCCGUCUUCUGCGUCGCUCACGCUGGGAGCUGUAGACCGGAGCUGUUGCUAUUCGGCCAUCUUGGCUCCUCUCCUGCACUGCAAGAAUGGACUAAUACGCUAUGUGAAGACAAAGGGGAUGUCUGCAAGCCAGGACGAGUGCGUCUACCAGAAACUGAGUUCUGCUGGACUUUGAUCUAGGACAUCCAGCCUCCAGAAUGGAAUGUGCCAUAUGUGGAGACCUGCAUGGAAAGGAACUGAGGAUGCUCUCUCACUAAAAGCUAGAAGGAACUGAGGCCCUCAGUCAACAGUCUACAAGACACUGAAUCUUGCCAGCAGCCAAGCAGUGAGCUUGAAAGCAGAUCUAUCAUCAGCUGAACCUUCAGAUGAGACCGCAGCCUAAGCAGAUACCUUGGUUGCAGCCAUGUGAGACAACCUGAAACAGAGGGCACAGCUAAGCCUCAGCCAGGUUCAUGACCCUCUGAGGAAACUAUGGAGAGAGGGGAACCCGAGUCAAGGAAUGCAAAUGGCCUCUGGAAGCUGGAAAAAGCAAGAAAUGGAUUCUCCUUUAGAGCCUGUGGAAUAAAAUGCAGUCAUGCUGACACCUUGAUUUUACCUCAGUGAGACCAAUACUGGAGUAUGACCUUCGGAGCUGAAUAAAAUUAUACGUACACAUCUUAAUUUCUUGGGAUUUGAUUACUUCUUCUGCUUUGAAAUUAGACCAAGUUUAGCCUGCCUUUGCUAUUUUGGCGUAUCUCCAAUUCUUCAUGAUUUUCUCAUCGCAAAGGCCACAUAAGGACAGUGAGAAGGCAGCCACCUGCAAGCCAGGAAGAAAGGUCUCACCAGAUACCAACCCUGCCAGCAUGUUGAUCUUGGACUUCCAGCCUCCAAAACUGGCCUUCUGCUCACAUGGGCUUCCGUGCACCUGCUUCAGGAGACAGCAACACUUGCGCCCGCACCGCGGCAGGCUCCCAUCACCUGGUGGAUAUGCCGCGCCGAGUCUCAUCACACCUUAGUGAAGGAACACAUGGACCCAUAUGUUAGCGGAUGUAUUUACAUCGUUUUAUACAGAAAGGGGAAAUGGAGUCUUGCUCUGUCACACAUGCUAGAGUCCAGUGGUAUGACCUCAGCUCACUGCAAUCUCUGCCUCCCGGGUUCAAAUGAUUCUUCUGCCUUGACCUCCCUGGCAGCUGGGACUACAGGCCUGCACCACCACGCCUGGCAAAUUUUUUAAUUUUUUUUAGUAGAGAUGGGGUUUCACCAUGUUGGCCAGGCUAGUCUCGAACUCCUGACCUCAAAUGAUCUGCCCGCUUUGGCCUUCCAAAGUUCUGGGAUUAUAGGAGUGAGCCACCAUGCCCAGCCUGUUCUUAAGUCUCCUAGAACAGGGAUUCUGAAACACAAAACUCAUCUGGCAAAGAGUUCUAAGAUGCAUUUCACAGCACUCCACAGAAGGAAGGUUCAGAGCCAAUCAUCUGCACCAGUGCCCAACUUAAAAACAUCCUUGUAUCAGUUUUCCCUUAUUUCCUGUUCUCCUCCCUAAACCUUCAGUCCUGUUCCUGGCAAUCACUUCCAGAAUAAACCAUAUACAUGCCUCAGAUUCUGAUCUCAGAGGAUCCCAGACUAAUACAGAGAUACACUAUGCUGAUUGCUUAACCCGCAUUUUCUCAUUUAAUUGAAACAUAUACGUGGUAAGGUAUUUAUUCAUACCUGCAUGAUUUUGUAGAUAAACCUUAGAGAAAUUAAUACUUUUCAGAAGGCAAUUAAAGUAACACAGCAAGCAAUUGAUAAAACCUGGAUUCGCCAAGUUAAACUGGUCUGGUUUCAAAACCUGUAUUGUUUCCUAACAUACCACCUAAAUUCUCAAAUGGUAUUGGAAGGGGUUAAAUGAGAUUAUAAAUGUAAAAUUCUUGGUAUAGUUAAUUCUCAAAAAUAGGCCUUCAAUCUAUAGAAUCCAUUUGUAGAACUAUCUUCAGGAAGGAAAAAUACAUCACCCUCCACCCCACCCUCAAAGAAACAUGGAAAAUUUAAACUAAGACUUCAAAUCUUGAGCUCUGCACAUCUUAGAAUAUUUUGUUUCUAUGAAAAAGAAGCUUUGGAGAAUGUGUAUCAGUCUGAAACACUGUAGUGUGAGCACAGAAAUCAGCCCAUCACAUUAUGCCCCAAAUGCUGAAGUACGGCUGAAUCUGAUUGCCCUGCAUUUUUAAGUACUGCAAAAUUCUGGGACUUGGGAUCAUCUGUUACUACAGACUUGUCAUAUUCCACUGAAAUAAAACAUAUAGUCUAAUUUGCAAAGUUCUCGUGUGGAAAGAGUCCUAAAAUGUAUAUAACCUCUGUCCCAGCAAUUCCAUUAGGAAUUUAUCCAAUCCAAAAUCUAAAAUGCAGAAGAUCUACAUAUUGAAUGCUUAUGGCAGCAUUCUUUAAAAUUAUGAAAAUUGAAAGCAACCAAAAUCCUCAAAAACAGACUAAUGGCUAAGUAGUAUAACCAUACUAUGAAAUGUGGUAAUUGAAUAUUCAAAUUUGUGUUGUAUAAAAAAUUAAUAAUGGUAUAACAUUUGGCUAUAAAAUAGAAUGAAUUCAAUUGUAUUUUUUAAACCAGUACAUCUGCAUAUUUGUGAACCUAAAAGAUAAGACGGUAAAUAUUUAACUGUAUUUUUCUUUAAUUGUUGGGGCUGUGAAUUAUUUUAAUUUUCUUAAUGCUUUUUAAUCUUCUCUGAAAAUUUUAUAAUAAUCUCUAAUAAUAAUUUAUAGCAAAAAAACCCAAAAUUUUAAAGGGUAUUCUUUUUGUAUUUUUAUCAAGAAUAAAAAUAUAUAUCAAU